This 416-nucleotide ribosomal RNA is filed under the name uncultured bacterium. Its description in RNAcentral is "bacterial SSU rRNA". It matches the Rfam family "Bacterial small subunit ribosomal RNA", at positions 28 to 439 of the family's 1533-position model. The record is from RNAcentral.
GACGAACGCUGGCGGCGCGCCUAACACAUGCAAGUCGAACGAGCGAGAGAGAGCUUGCUUUCUCGAGCGAGUGGCGAACGGGUGAGUAACGCGUGAGGAACCUGCCUCAAAGAGGGGGACAACAGUUGGAAACGACUGCUAAUACCGCAUAAGCCCACAGCUCGGCAUCGAGCAGAGGGAAAAGGAGCAAUCCGCUUUGAGAUGGCCUCGCGUCCGAUUAGCUAGUUGGUGAGGUAACGGCCCACCAAGGCAACGAUCGGUAGCCGGACUGAGAGGUUGAACGGCCACAUUGGGACUGAGACACGGCCCAGACUCCUACGGGAGGCAGCAGUGGGGAAUAUUGCACAAUGGGGGAAACCCUGAUGCAGCGACGCCGCGUGGAGGAAGAAGGUCUUCGGAUUGUAAACUCCUGUUGU